GUGGGCGCUGGAGAACUGAGGGGGGCUGCUCCUAGUACGAGAGGACCGGAGUGGACGCAUCACUGGUGUUCGGGUUGUCAUGCCAAUGGCACUGCCCGGUAGCUAAAUGCGGAAGAGAUAAGUGCUGAAAGCAUCUAAGCACGAAACUUGCCCCGAGAUGAGUUCUCCCUGAGACUUAGAGUCUCCUGAAGGAACGUUGAAGACGACGACGUUGAUAGGCCGGGUGUGUAAGCGCAGCGAUGCGUUGAGCUAACCGGUACUAAUGAACCGUGAGGCUUAACCUU
Molecule: ribosomal RNA, 284 nt
Filed under: Escherichia coli
Lineage: Bacteria; Pseudomonadati; Pseudomonadota; Gammaproteobacteria; Enterobacterales; Enterobacteriaceae
Also listed under: 2 other names
Description: partial 23S ribosomal RNA
Rfam family: Bacterial large subunit ribosomal RNA
Source: RNAcentral